CAAUAUGCCUAAAAUGGUUAGUUUUUAUAAGCGUUCGACAUUUACGAACUAACCGCACACGACGAUGUAUCUUUUUGAGAAGAACGUGGCGCUUAUGGCCAAAUAGAAAUUGCUUUCAAGAUUGCUGCCACUCAAUUUCUCGACUGGUAACUCCGUUAAACCAAGCUCCACGCCUUAGCACAGAGUAAACGGUAAAGGCGAUGAAAACCCCCAACACGGCAAAUAGAACUUCAAAGACAGCCUUGAACUUUUCCCGCUCGUCCGUCACCUUUCUGUACAAGACUUUGAAGCCGCGAACGACAUGAUUGAUUCCUCAAAUUUAAUAUGACCAACACCAUCUGAGAGCUGUAGUAGGGGUUGUCUCUCUACAUUGUCUGCUGAUAUUAUUAUUU
Molecule: long non-coding RNA, 392 nt
Organism: Glossina fuscipes
Lineage: Eukaryota; Metazoa; Arthropoda; Insecta; Diptera; Glossinidae
Exons: 3
Source: RefSeq, a predicted model, not a curated record